RNAcentral lists this long non-coding RNA (201 nucleotides) under Elaeis guineensis (African oil palm). Its description in RNAcentral is "long non-coding RNA (EGUI_LNC082287)". Lineage: Eukaryota; Viridiplantae; Streptophyta; Magnoliopsida; Arecales; Arecaceae. The record is from RNAcentral.
GUCCUUCUUCAACCUCUGGAACGAUUUCAGAGAUUUGAAGAAAGGAUCUAGAUUGGCUAAGAAGAAGGUCUUCGCGCGAGCUAGCGCUUUCGAGAAGACCGAUCAGAUCGGGGCUUCAAGUGGAUUUUCCGUAGAGGCCGGACGUGUGUGCGGCUGCGAGCAACCAGCAAAGAUCCUCUUCACCAUGUCUCUCAGCGGCAG